This 258-nucleotide ribosomal RNA is filed under the name uncultured bacterium. RNAcentral's name for it is "partial 16S ribosomal RNA". It matches the Rfam family "Bacterial small subunit ribosomal RNA", at positions 793 to 1055 of the family's 1533-position model. The record is from RNAcentral.
GUCCACGCCUUAAACGAUGAAUACUAGAUGUUGGGGUUAAACUCAGUAUCGCAGCUAACGCAUUAAGUAUUCCACCUGGGGAGUACGAUCGCAAGGUUGAAACUCAAAGGAAUUGACGGGGGCCCGCACAAGCAGUGGAGCAUGUGGUUCAAUUCGAUGCAACGCGAAGAACCUUACCUAGGCUUGACAUGAUAGCUAAAGCCGGUGAAAGCCGGUGUCCCGCAAGGGGAGCUAUUACAGAUGCUGCAUGGCUGUCGU